This 148-nucleotide non-coding RNA is filed under the name Homo sapiens (human). Lineage: Eukaryota; Metazoa; Chordata; Mammalia; Primates; Hominidae. The record is from Rfam by way of RNAcentral.
GCUGGGCGUGGUGAUGUGCACCUGUAGUUCCACCUACUUGGGAGGCUGAGGCAGGAGGAUGACUUGAGCCCGGGAGUUCCAGACUGCAGUGAGCUAUGAUUGCGCCACUGCACUCUAGUCUGGGUGAUAAAGCCAGACCCUGUCUCAA